GACAGAGGGUGCAAACGUUGUUCGGAAUUACUGGGCGUAAAGCGCGUGUAGGCUGCUCAGAAAGUCGGAUGUGAAAGCCCUGGGCUCAACCUAGGAAGUGCACUCGAAACUGCGGAGCUUGAGUCUCGGAGAGGAUCGCGGAAUUCUCGGUGUAGAGGUGAAAUUCGUAGAUAUCGAGAGGAACACCGGUGGCAAAGGCGGCGAUCUGGACGAUGACUGACGCUGAGACGCGAAAGCGUGGGGAGCAAACAGG
This 253-nucleotide ribosomal RNA is filed under the name uncultured bacterium. RNAcentral describes it as "partial 16S ribosomal RNA". It matches the Rfam family "Bacterial small subunit ribosomal RNA", at positions 524 to 776 of the family's 1533-position model. The record is from RNAcentral.